UAGGGAAUCUUCCGUAAUGGGCGAAAGCCUGACGGAGCAACGCCGCGUGAGUGAAGAAGGAUUUCGGUUCGUAAAGCUCUGUUGUUAGGGAAGAAUGAUUGUGUAGUAACUAUACACAGUAGAGACGGUACCUAACCAGAAAGCCACGGCUAACUACGUGCCAGCAGCCGCGGUAAUACGUAGGUGGCAAGCGUUGUCCGGAAUUAUUGGGCGUAAAGCGCGCGCAGGUGGUUUAAUAAGUCUGAUGUGAAAGCCCACGGCUCAACCGUGGAGGGUCAUUGGAAACUGUUAAACUUGAGUGCAGGAGAGAAAAGUGGAAUUCCUAGUGUAGCGGUGAAAUGCGUAGAGAUUAGGAGGAACACCAGUGGCGAAGGCGGCUUUUUGGCCUGUAACUGACACUGAGGCGCGAAAGCGUGGGGAGCAAACAGGAUUAGAUACCCUGGUAGUCCACGCCGUAAACGAUGAGUGCUAAGUGUUGGUCUCAUAAGAGAUCAGUGCUGCAGCUAACGCAUUAAGCACUCCGCCUGGGGAGUACGACCGCAAGGUUG
This 548-nucleotide ribosomal RNA is filed under the name uncultured bacterium. RNAcentral describes it as "bacterial SSU rRNA". It matches the Rfam family "Bacterial small subunit ribosomal RNA", at positions 355 to 896 of the family's 1533-position model. The record is from RNAcentral.